GACGAACGCUGGCGGCGUGCCUAAUACAUGCAAGUCGAGCGAAUCAAUGGGAGCUUGCUCCCUGAGAUUAGCGGCGGACGGGUGAGUAACACGUGGGUAACCUGCCUGUAAGACUGGGAUAACUUCGGGAAACCGGAGCUAAUACCGGAUACGUUCUUUUCUCGCAUGAGAAGAGAUGGAAAGAUGGUUUCGGCUAUCACUUACAGAUGGACCCGCGGCGCAUUAGCUAGUUGGUGAGGUAACGGCUCACCAAGGCGACGAUGCGUAGCCGACCUGAGAGGGUGAUCGGCACACACUGGGACUGAGACACGGCCCAGACUCCUACGGGAGGCAGCAGUAGGGAAUCUUCCGCAAUGGACGAAAGUCUGACGGAGCAACGCCGCGUGAGCGAAGAAGGCCUUCGGGUCGUAAAGCUCUGUUGUUAGGGAAGAACAAGUACAAGAGUAACUGCUUGUACCUUGACGGUACCUAACCAGGAAGCCACGGCUAACUACGUGCCAGCCGCCGCAGUAA
RNAcentral lists this ribosomal RNA (513 nucleotides) under uncultured bacterium. RNAcentral describes it as "partial 16S ribosomal RNA". It matches the Rfam family "Bacterial small subunit ribosomal RNA", at positions 28 to 523 of the family's 1533-position model. The record is from RNAcentral.